GGCAGUGUGGCCUAGUGGAUAGGGCACAUGCCUGGUACUCAGGAGACCUGAUUACUAUUCCUAGCUCUGCCU
RNAcentral lists this transfer RNA (72 nucleotides) under Chelonia mydas (Green sea turtle). It matches the Rfam family "tRNA". Rfam says of the family: Transfer RNA (tRNA) molecules are approximately 80 nucleotides in length. Their secondary structure includes four short double-helical elements and three loops (D, anti-codon, and T loops). Lineage: Eukaryota; Metazoa; Chordata; Testudines; Cheloniidae. The record is from Rfam by way of RNAcentral.